CCUACGGGAGGCAGCAGUGAGGAAUCUUGGUCAAUGGACGAGAGUCUGAACCAGCCAAGUAGCGUGAAGGAUGACUGCCCUAUGGGUUGUAAACUUCUUUUAUAUGGGAAUAAAAUGUUCCACGUGUGGGAUUUUGUAUGUAUCAUAUGAAUAAGGAUCGGCUAACUCCGUGCCAGCAGCCGCGGUAAUUCGGAGGAUCCGAGCGUUAUCCGGCUUUAUUGGGUUUAACGUGUGCGUAGGUGGAUUGUUAAGUCAGUUGUGAAAGUUUGCGGCUUAACCGUAAAAUUGCAGUUGAAACUGGCAGUCUUGAGUACAGUAGAGGUGGGCGGAAUUCGUGGUGUAGCGGUGAAAUGCGUAGAGAUCACGAAGAACACCGAUUGCGAAGGCAGCUUACUGGACUGCAACUGACGCUGAGGCGCGAAAGUGUGGGGAUCAAACAGGAUUAGAUACCCCAGUAGUC
Molecule: ribosomal RNA, 460 nt
Filed under: uncultured bacterium
Lineage: Bacteria
Description: partial 16S ribosomal RNA
Rfam family: Bacterial small subunit ribosomal RNA
Source: RNAcentral